RNAcentral lists this long non-coding RNA (9883 nucleotides) under Ananas comosus (pineapple). RNAcentral describes it as "long non-coding RNA (ACOM_LNC012722)". The record is from RNAcentral. Lineage: Eukaryota; Viridiplantae; Streptophyta; Magnoliopsida; Poales; Bromeliaceae.
CACCAUCCCCACGCAAACCGUCGUCUGGGUCGCCAACCGCCUCGACCCCGUCGACGCCUCCCCCUCCUUCCUCUCUCUCUCCCCCGACGGCAUUCUCACCCUCUCCUCCCCCAACUCCUCCACCCCACUCUCCACCACCGCAACUACCUUAACCAACCCCGUAGCCCAACUGUUGGACACCGGUAACUUCGUCGUGCGAGAAGCGACCGACGGCGGCGAUGCGGCCGCGUGGCAGAGCUUCGACUAUCCGACGGACACGCUGAUAGCCGGGAUGAAGCUGGGGGUUGACCGGCGGCGGGGGCUGAACUGGACGCUGACCGCCUGGCGAAGCGGGUCGGACCCGGCCCCGGGCGAGUACUACGCGGCGAUGGACACGGCGGGGGACCCGGAGGUGUUCCUCUACUCCGUAGCGGGUCGGGCGCGGAUCUGGCGAACGGGCCCGUGGGACGGGGUCCAGUUCAGCGGCGUCCCGGACACGGUCACGUACCAGGACUUCGCGUUCACGUUCACCAACGACGCCGACGAGGUCUCCUACAGCUUCAACGUCCUGAACCGGUCCAUCAUCUCCCGGCUCGUCGUGAACCAGACCGGGGUCGUGCAGCGGUCCAUCUGGCUCGCGUCGGGCCGGGUGUGGAACAUCUUCUGGUACGCGCCGCGGGACCCGUGCGACGACGUGUCCGCCUGCGGGCCCUACGGGCUGUGCGACCCCAACGACUCCCCCAUGUGCAGCUGCGUGCAGGGGUUCGAGCCGCGGUCGCCGCAGGACUGGGCGCUGCGGGACGGGUCGGGCGGGUGCGUGCGGAGGACGCGGCUCGACUGCGCCAACCGCACCGACGGGUUCGCCAAGGUGAGCCACGUGAAGCUCCCGGACACCACGAACUGUACGGUGGACCCGACCGUGGGGCUCGACCGGUGCGCCGCCAGGUGUUCGGCGAAUUGCUCGUGCACCGCCUACGCGGCCGCGAAUGUCAGCGGUGGGGCCCGGAGUGGGUGCGUUAUGUGGCACUCCGAGCUCACCGACAUGCGGGUCUACGUAGGCACGGGGCAGGAUCUGUACGUACGCUUGGCCGCGGCUGAUCUAGGUACGUACACGUACGUAUAAUAUACGUGCUAUCUAUUUAUUUAGUAAAUUAUUUAUACUUGCAAAUUGAUAGCUAUAUAAUACAAUAUAUAUACCCACACACUCGGAUUAUUCUCCUGCAUUUUCUUCGGAAUGGUCCCACAUAAAUCUCAGUGCUUGAUUGAUGAUCGAUAAAGACGUCUAAUUAAUCAGCUAUUUCAUGUAGCCAUCCUUAUCUAGUCAUAGUCUAUAGCCUCUCGCCAGCUUCUGAAAUUGUUUUUGUACUAAGAUUAAUUUUUUUGUUUUAUUUUUUUAGUCUUGUACGUAGAAACAAAUUACUUGAAAUCUGAAGCUAAUUAAUGCAAACUGUAUUACGAGAAAACAAUUUUACUUUGAGCUUGAAAUAGGAAGCUGAAAUAAGUUCGUAUGUUUUGAAAUCUAAAAGCUAAUUAUCAAGUAAGCAAUUUUAAGAGCAUUAAAACAAAAGGUUAAGGUUAAUUACUAAAUUUUUAUCCUUAAACAAAAUAGUUUGGAGUGGUUGGGUAUCAAGAAGCACAUGAUGUUCGAUAGAAGCCAAAAUUCAACGAGGGUAGUAAACGCCAAAAAAAAAAGCAGCAAAUGGGUAAUGUCGGCAACUGCCUCUACUGUAAUUGGCUUGGAAUGUAGCAUCGGCGCCGACUUAUGACACAGCCGUGCACGUCUUCGCUAACCAUUAAUUUUCCAAGAUUAAUUUGUUAAGGUUUACAAUGACUUGGAAUAGAAACUCUGGCGUGCCGUACCAAAAAGUUGUUGAGACUGGUCGAUGUGAACGAAAAUGUGUCGAUUAUAAAUCCAGUUCGACUUAAACAGCACAAAUGCAUGCAGAUCGAAGCUCUAGUCAUGCAAAUUAAUGAGCCCAUAAAUAGAUCACUUUAUAUGUAUUGUGUACCUGGAAAAUUGAGAAUUAUAUAAGCUUCAGAUUUAGAUCCCCUUGUUUUAUAGAGGAGGCUGAUCUUGUCCAAAUUUGAUUCGACCCCCCUACUGUGAUCACCUUUUGGUAGGGUAAAAAAUGAUUCAGGAUAACAUUUGAUUUACUUAGUUUCUAGUUAAUUUAAUUAGGGUGACAAUUUGAACUUAUAAUAAUUGCCAUGUAUAGCCAAUUAAAUUUCUCUCAUGUGCUUCAUAAAGGAGAAUGGAAUAUUCUAGACCAAAUCCGAAACACUUUUUUUGUGUUCCAUUCUUAAUAGACCCAGCAAGGCACAUGUGGCAUAUUGCUUACCCUGCAGUAUAAUGUGGUCCAAACACACUAAUUUAGUGACUGUAAUAAUCACUUGAACAACCUGAGUUGCAUCACUGUUUGUACAUAUCUCAGUAGCUGAUAUGAGCUGUUAUGAGAUUUAAAAGGAAAAAGUACUGUUGCCUUUAAUUAUUUAGCUUCACUAUCAAGCUGGACCAUGGUUUUAGGGCCUCUGUGGCCUUUUAUGGACCAUGUGAAAGCAUCUAUAUAUAAUGAUGAUAUAUAGGGCUUGAUCUGUAGGAUUGUAGUUUUUUCAUCAAAAUAAUUCCAAUAGCUUUGCAUUGAAGCUAGAAGAAGAAACUAAUGCAGUAGCUAGGUAAAGAGAAAAAUCCUCAGUGAGAAAUAUAGCUAAAGCAAGUACAUCUAUGUUUGAUGGGAGAGUGAUCUUUGGAUAGUGUCUUUCCAUCUUAUUCCAUGGACCUAAUUACUAUCCGCAAUAUUAGCUAGCCUAUAGGGAUCGAUGUUUGGGCUAUCCACUUUCGUGUUCAGAUCGAUUCGAGAAAUUUGCAUAAUAUUUGAUGGAAUAGCAGGGAUGUUUGUUGAUGUCUCCGCUUUAUCCCUCGACUGAACACUGCCUCAACGAUGUUUGGACUUUGGCAUCUAAUAGCUCAUUUCAGCUUCUCACUUAACCAAAAUGUGUUGGACAUUUCGUAAAAUCUAAUCUAGAAGCUGGCCAAACAAAAAUAUAUUACACCUCAAACAAGAUGUGGUUUUCCUUUGAUUAAUUGGAAUAUAUCUUCGCUUAAAUGAGAAGAUAUGGUGCUAAAUUAGGAAUGUCUACAGGUUCAGCCCCAAGCCAGUCUGGCAAGAGUGAUCAUGCACCCAUUGCACUCAUUGUAGGCCUUACUGUAGUGGCAUUCCUACUAGCAUGUGCUGGUUGCUAUAUCUGGAGAAGAAGGAAACUUAGGAAAUCAGGUAAUAAAACUGCUAAUUCAGUACACUUUCAAUAUUGUUUGGAAGCCCAAAUGAGUAUAAAUGGAAAUUAUAAGACAAUUAUUAACCGAUUGAAUAUACAGGUCCAGGCACGUCGGCGAGUACUAUUUCCUUCAGCCAUGAACAGCGCAAGGAGGAAAGUAUUCAAGAUAGUGAUAUAGAGUUGCCAUUAUUUGAUUUGGGCACUAUCGCGGUUGCUACUGAGGGGUUCUCUAACACAAAUAAACUCGGAGAAGGUGGAUUUGGACCAGUUUACAGGGUUAGUUUUUAACCUUUCAUUAACUUUCACAGUUGUGAUGGUUAUGAUUCUUUAAGUUGAGAGAUUAAUUCUGGUCAAAAAAUACAAAUCAGUCACUAUUCUGACAUUGCUAAAGAACCAACUGUAUCUGAAGCUGAAUCUACUCUGUAAUAUAAAUACGUUAUAAGAACUUGGAUUUUCGUAUACAUGAUGUGAAAGUGAGAUGCACUAAGAAAACUUUUGAGGAUGUUUUACCUGAUAGCUUAGGCAUUUUGAAGACCUGCUUAAUGAAUACAUGUAUGAUUACAGUUGAGCAUUUUUAUGAUAAAAAAGAUCUAGUCUUACAUGAUCUAUUUGAAUUAUUUAUGUCAUAAUUGACGAUCAGGGUAAGCUUGGCGACGGACAAGAAAUAGCUGUGAAAACGCUUGCAAAAACUUCAGUGCAAGGUCUCGACGAGUUCAAGAACGAGGUCAUGCUGAUAGCAAAACUUCAGCAUAGGAAUCUUGUUAGGCUACUUGGUUGCUGCAUCCAAGGAGAGGAGAGGAUGCUUAUAUAUGAAUACAUGGAAAACAAAAGCUUGGAUAUGUUUUUGUUCGGUAAGUCCACGCCAUUCAUUCUAAAUGCCUUCUUACUUUGUUUCUACACUAUAAUUUCGACAACGUAAUAUUUUGAUGAAAAGUAAACAGUUUGAGAAUUUUAGCAGAUAAAGCUUACAGCGCAUCACUAAAUUGGCAAACGCGGUAUCGGAUAAUUGAGGGGAUUGCUCGAGGGCUUGUUUACCUUCACCAGGAUUCAAGAUUUAGAGUUAUUCAUAGAGAUUUAAAGGCUAGUAAUAUUCUUCUUGAUAAGGAGAUGAGCCCCAAAAUCUCAGACUUUGGCAUGGCACGAAUUUUUGGCGGUGACGAGACCGAAGUCAAUACAAGAAAAGUAGUUGGUACCUAGUAAGUACAUAUGCUUGCAUAUAUACGAAGCAAUAUACUCUUGAUUAACAGUUCAUAAUCCUUAUCGAUUGUAUUUAAUUUUGCAGUGGAUAUAUGUCUCCGGAAUACGCAAUGGAUGGAAUUUUUUCAGUAAAAUCCGACGUAUUCAGUUUUGGGGUUUUAGUGUUAGAAAUUAUUAGUGGAAGGAGGAACAGAGGAGCAUAUGUUGAUUCCUCACACCUUAAUCUUCUUGCUCAUGUAAGUAUGUUUAAACUCAAACAAUUUAUAUUUUAACUGCUACAUUUUCUUAAACUUUUUGGAUUUAUAUUUAUAUACUUUUCGCAGGCAUGGAGUUUAUGGAAUGAGGGGAAGAGUUUAGAACUAGUAGACGAUUCUAUGGAUUAUUCCUUCCUCGCAAAUGAAGUUCUAAAAUGUGCGCACAUUGGUCUUUUGUGUGUUCAAGAGCACCCCGAGGAUCGUCCCCUGAUGUCGGCGGUCGUUUUGAUGCUUGGUAGUGAUGGAGCAUCACUGCCAACUCCGAAACAGCCCGGUUUUGCAAGGAGGAGGAUUCAGCUCGAUACGGAAUCAUCAUCAAGCAAGCAAGAUUCUAUCACGUUGAACGAUAUGACUAUAACCAUGAUCGAAGGUCGAUAGAAGGAACAAUUAUAUGUGUAGUUUGGCUGAAUUUGGUUUCAAUGAGGAAAUGUUAUAUAUUUGAGGUUUUGAUUUCUUUCUUUUCUUUCUUUUCUUUCCCACUUUUUGAUGGUCGGAAAAUGUAUAAAUAUGUUUACAAUCAUUGGAAUAUAUUUUUUUUCAUGUCGAUGAAAUUGAUACCCAAUUAGCUCAAAAACCUUGAAGUUGUGCAAUUGUUACAUACAUCAAAGGAACAACAAUUUUUUUUUGAUUAAACAGGGGUAUACCCUAUUUUAACAAAGUCAGAACAGAGAGUAUAGAAGCAGUCUAGUAAGGCGAAAAAAUGGAACGGCUAGAACGGCAAGAACAGCAUGGGUUGAUCGCAAUCAAGAUCUAGGAGCAAGAACCCAGAAACCAAAAAAAACCAAAAACCAAAAUCAAAGCCCCAAAAACCCCCAAAAAGCGCACACUCCUAGAUGCUGUCCAUGUCCCCGAGUGCGGCUUUCCUAGAUGCUGUCCAAAAAGAACAACAAUUCUUUCUACCAAUAUGAGUACAAUUGAAGUAUCAAACAAAUUCUUGUACACGAGACUAUUUUCGCGGAAAGAACGUCAAAAUAGUAAAAUCAAUUUCUGCAAAACCUCCAAAAAGAAAACAAAAAAAGAGAAAAAAAAGAAAAGAAAAAAAGUUAAUACACAUCUUUAUCUACCCUCUACAAUUAAUAGCUACAGUUACAAUAUUUGCAGUGUGGCCCUGCGACAAUGAUUCUAUAUCCAAAAAGCCCCUGCCGAUACUAAAUGGAGGCUCAUUCGAGCUUUCCCUGAAAAGAACCAACACAUAGUUAUAAAAAUUUCCAUAAUUAUCUCCGCGCACUUUAUAUCUCAACCUUAAUUGAAUCUACACAUUAGUCACAUCGUUCCAAGAAUUAACUACCAUGUAUACAGGGCCAAAUCCACCCUCUCCAAUCCUAUUAGCCAAUGAGAAACUGUCCGUAGGAUCCAAUAUCGCCCCUAGAUCGAAUGUUGGAAGGUUGAGACCUUCAUGAGUACUUGUUUCAUCUUCGAAGCUAUGAUCUUGUGUUGAUCGUACUUCCCAUCUUGAUUCUGAACCCGCGCACGUAUAUGUCGCAUGCAUGUCAAAUGGCAAGGCUUCUCAUAACAACACUCUGUGCCUUCUCUCUACGUUGCCUAGCUUUUAGGAGCAUCAAUUAUUAUGGAAAUUAAAAGCCAACAUGUAACACCCCAAUAGCAUUUUGGCCAAUAGUUUGGGCCUAACAAGUGAUUAUUACUAGCCAGUCGGAUCACUAUAAUUGGUAUCAGAGCCGAAUAGCAGUCAGAAGUCUGAGAGCUAGAUAUUAUGCAAGACAAAAUACUAUACCAACGGGUUUGGUGAGAGCCGCCUAUUGAAUCAGUAGAAGCCACUUCUAGAAUCUCACAUCGCCCGGUAAUAUUCUGGUUAGUCUGUAAUCUGAGCUUGGACCUGAUGAGAACGUCAUGAUUUAAACAUGCGAGUUUAUAAUGUCUCAAUAGUCUCGCAUCGGAUGAAAAAAUAAUUUUGGUUAGAAUAUAUGAAGGCUCAAAGAUAGUAAUAAUAACUGGGUUUAAACAUUUAGACUAGUAAUUUGGAUCCAACAAGUUAUUAUUAUUAGCUGGUCGGAUCGUCACAAUUAUUAUUAGAGACCAGACAAUCUGUCUGUAAUCUGGCACAUACAGUAUAUGACCACCAUGCAUCAAAAUGCUUUUCCAAUGAAAAUUGUAGUUCCUUACGAGGCUAGCUCACUCUAUUCUCCAUGAUCUUAUGCAAGUUCUUAGAUACAAAUUAAUCAAGCCCAAAAAUAUAUAUAAAAAAUAUCCCUCACUUCUUUUGGUAUUUCCUUUUUCUUUUAACUUUUUUUUGUGUCUUUUAUUUAAUGCUUCUUCUCCUCAUUUUUCUCGCUUUUCUUCAUCAUCUCCUCCUCUCUUUCAUGAGUGGAGUCACCGACCGAUAACAAUCUAUAAAAACUCACAACUUACACAAGGAUAUAUCCUCAUUCCGGUGCGUACGAAAGUGUGAACUCUUCAUUAGAAUAUUUAUUAUAAUCUAGUUAUAUUUAUACUCUAAUUAAUAUUUAAAUUUUAAUUUAUCUCUAAUAGAUUUAAAUAUUAAUUUUUAUCUAAUUAAAAUAUUAACUACAAAUCUAACCACUACCCAAAUCUUAACAAGUGGGACGUGACGUAAAUGGUAAUUGUUUCCCGGAAAGGAUAAGGCCAUGAGUCUUAAUUAAUUGUUGGAUGGGAGUUGAUCGAUGACCCAUGAGUAUUGACUUAUACAGAUUAAUAACUUGCUCAUUUAAUUAAUUGGCCCGCUUGUAUGUAAUUAAAUUCUUCAAGCAUUUUCUUAUUAUAUAGUAUUAGAUAUAUGAGAAAUUUUCACAUCACAGUACCGUUUCCUUUUGGUUAUUAUUGCAACCACACAUUGGGCUACUUAAAAACCCGUUUACUUUAUUUGACUUCUCUAUGAAGUUGAUAAUAAUUUGACACAAAGCUACAUACACCAAUGACAUGUCUUCAAUUAAUUUUUGGCCAUUGAUUUCCAGCAAUAUUGCAACGCUGUUACAUAUAGUUAGCUUACGGUUUAUAACCAAGUCAUUAGUAUCUCAAUAAUAAACACCGAAGUAUAUAUUUAGAAUUGUGGGUACGCAAGAUUUGAGGUGAAAAAAAAAAUUUAGGCCUGUUUGGAUGCACAGUAAAAAAUCUCCACGGGAUUUAUAAACUGUGGUUUUGGUCCAAAUAAAAUAAAGAAUUCUGUAACUCUAAAAAAAUUCCACGGAUUCAAUUUUUAAACUGUUUGGAUGCGCAUUGUGUAAUUUCACGGGAUUUCUCUAAAUUUUAAAAUUAAAAGUUAAAAUUUCAAAUUUUAAAUUUCAAAUUUCAAUGAAAAUUAAAAUUUAAAAUUUGAUAUGUGAAAUGCGAAAUUUUAAAUUUUGAAAAUUAAAAAUUAAAAAUAUAAAAAUCUAAAUUUAAUUUUAAAAUUUUGAAAUUUAAAAUUUUAAAAUAAAAAAUUUUAAAUUAAAAAAUAAAUUUAAAAUUUAAAGUUCAAAUUUGAAAUUUGAACUAUGAGAUUUGAGAUUUAAAAUUUGAAAUUUGAAAUUUAAAAUUUAAAAUCUAAAAUUUAAAAUUUAAAGUUUAAAAUUUAAAAUUUAAAAUUUAAAAUUUAAAAUUUGAAAUUUGAAAUUUAAAAUUUGAAAUUUAAAAUUUGAAAUUUAAAAUUUAAAAUUUAAAAUUUGAAGUUUAAAAUUUGAUCUGUGAAAUUUAAAAUUUCAAAUUUGAAUUUCGAAAACUAAAAUUUAAAAUAAAAUUUGAAAUUCUAAAUUUGAAAUUUGAAAUUUGAAAUUUAAAAAUUAAAUUUGAAAAUAAAAAAUUUAGAAUUAAAAUUUGAAAUUAUGAAUUAAAAAAUUUAAAAUUUGAAAUUUAUUAUUUGUAAACUAAAAUUUAAAACUUGAUAUUCGAAAAUUAAAAUUUGAAUUUAUAAAAUUUAAAAAUUUAAAAUUUAAAAUUUGACAUUAAAACUUUGAAAUUAUAAAAUUUAAUUUUUGAUAUUUCAAAUUUAAAAUUCAAAAUUUAAAUUUGAAAUUAAAAUUUUGAAUAUAAAUUAAAUUGUAAAAUUUAAAAUUUGAAAUUUAAAAAUUAGAACUUGAUGCAACUUUGCCCAAAAAUGGUGGAAUUCUUUUUUCCUUUGGUUAGAGUGGAUUAUAAUUUUACUCUAUUUUUUGCUGUAUAGUUUAACUAUACUCGAAAAAUUACGGUAUAUUUUUUUUUCUCCCAAACGCUUUAUAGGAUAAAUUUUCCUACCGGCGUAGUAUAGUUUAACUAUACUACAUUUUUAAUGGUAUCCAAACAGGGCCUUAGCAAUUUAUAAGAAUCUGAAAAUUUAGAUUUUACAAAGAUACAUUAAUUUGUGUGGGACCCUAAGGCUGCGUUUAGUUGGAGAACUAAAUAACCUCUUAAUUAUAUAGUCAACUUAAUUAUAUAGUGAAACGUUUUAAAUAAUCUUAACAUUCCUGCUAGCACGUAUAGUUGAUAUCUAAUAAUAAAUAUUCUUUUAAUAUGAAAAGAGUUUAAAAUCAAUUUUAAUAUUAUUAUAUUAUCUAAAAGAGUAAUCUUGCAAAUAAAUGAUCAUGUAUUUUGGCACUUCAAAGGUCAUAAAUACAUAAUAGCUACACUAUCCUACUUCCUUUUUUAAUGGAAAUCUUAUCUUAUAUAGAAGAAAAAAAAAAAAAAAACUUUUCUAGCUAGUAUACCUCUCUUAAAGGGAAAAAAUGAAUACAUUACUCCCAUGCAGCAGCAGCAGUAGCAGUAGCACUCCUCUCUGCAUCAUUCUAUUAUUAUUUCUGCUCUCAAUCUCAUCCAUUACUGCUCACGCGCGGGACACGAUAACAGUAGGCAGCCCGCUCGCAGAGAACGAGACGCUCGUCUCUGCGGGCGGCUACUUCGCCCUCGGCUUCUUCAACCCCCCGAACAACCCCGACCGCUACGUCGGCAUCUGGUUCAACAACAUCCCCACGCAAACCGUCGUCUGGGUCGCCAACCGCCUCGACCCCGUCGCCGCCGCCGCCUCCCCCUCCUUCCUCUCUCUCUCCCCCGACGGCAUCCUCACCCUCGCCUCCCCCAACUCCUCCACCCCACUCUCCACCACCGCAACUACCUUAACCAACCCCGUAGCUCAACUGUUGGACACCGGUAACUUCGUCGUGCGAGAAGCGACCGACGCCGGCGAUGCGGCCGCGUGGCAGAGCUUCGACUAUCCGACGGACACGAUGAUAGCCGGGAUGAAGCUGGGCGUGGAC